This 208-nucleotide long non-coding RNA is filed under the name Elaeis guineensis (African oil palm). Its description in RNAcentral is "long non-coding RNA (EGUI_LNC042985)". Lineage: Eukaryota; Viridiplantae; Streptophyta; Magnoliopsida; Arecales; Arecaceae. The record is from RNAcentral.
GGGCUUAGGUUCAAGGGUUGGAUCAAUCAAUAUUCUCUUCACCAAGAGAGGGGAAGAUCAAGAGAGAGAGAGAAAAAAAGGCUACUGAUUUCUUGAGAAGAAAAUCAGCAAAUCAGAUUGGCGAAGGUCUUUAAUCAAGAUCCGUGUGGAUCACCAUUGGAGGGUAUAUGCAUGUGUACAUCAAGGAAGACCAAUCAGCUAUCAAAUC